Molecule: long non-coding RNA, 1402 nt
Organism: Lolium perenne
Lineage: Eukaryota; Viridiplantae; Streptophyta; Magnoliopsida; Poales; Poaceae
Source: RefSeq, a predicted model, not a curated record
UCACAGGAAUCUCUACCGCUUAUAUAAAAAAUAGGAUCAUGUUCCGUCGUCAAUCGUUCGUCGCCUUCGUCGUGGCUCCUUCCCAUGAGCGGACGCAUAUAUGGGCCAAGCGCAACAUGGACGCGCUGGACGUUUGCUGCUACUUCAUAUCUCACGGUUUGUUCCUCUUCUUCUCUCUCCAAGCGAACAGAGCUUGUCCCGAACAGAAUUCACAAAUAGGGUUGAUCUCCCAUGGCGCCGCCUCCCUCCUCCGGUAUGAGGAACGAAACCCCCGGCUGAAUCCCCACCCCCGAAUUCCGGCCCUGCCGUUCGUCACGGCCUGCUACAUGUAGACCUCCCACGGCCCCAACAUCGAUGCCUCUGGACAUGGCUGCUCGUCGGAGCCGUUUCGCCGUCAACGCAGAGCCGAGCUACUGACCCCAAUUCAACCCGGACCAGCCUCAUGGUCAUCUCCAGUUCGUCAAUUUCCCUCACAUCAAUGAAAAGUUUUAAGAUUUGGGCUCGCUUGUUAUCGCCCCUGAUGGAAGGAAUGGAUGUGAUGGGCAUUGGGCAAUGCCAAGACAGGGAAGAACCUUGCGUUCCUUACACCAGUGAUUGAGCUGCUCUAUCAGCUCCAUUUGUUACCGCAUAACAAGUCUGGGGCUGUGGUGGUUUGCCCCACAAGGGACGUCGCUUUCAGGUAUGAUAAUGAUUACCUGGAUAAAUCAUGCUGCAUGAUCUUGCUGGAUGAUGACCGCUGACUUAUUUCUGUAAAUUCGGGAGCAAUUCAUCAUACUACAUUAGUAAAAACUAUGCAUGAUUUCAUUACUACUAUUUCCUACUAGCCCAGUCCAAAAUAUAAGGCCUUUUAGAAAGUUAAAGUAGCUUUCUAAAAGGCUUGUAUUUUGAAAUGUAGGUAAUAUUUGUGUACUGUACAACUGGUGUGCCUCUGGUUGAUGACUGUUGUCUAUGUAAAUUUCUUCUUAUAUACUUAUAAUGUGAAACUGUUUCAUUAGAUUCAUUUUUGCAGUAAAUUGAAAUAAUGUACUUCUAUUUUUAUUUCCAAAGAUUAUAGAGACAACAUUAGCAUAUGUGUAACUUCAGAAUAUUUAAGGGAAAUAUAAAAGGAGCAUCUCUAUCGCUUAAUAUCAUGUUUCUAUUACUUGGAUCCAGCAGAUAGUGACAAACAUGUGUUGUGGAGUCUGCAAACUUUCUAUGAUCGGACCAUUUGAUAGACUCAAGAUUGAGGGUGUAUGAAAAAAGAAAUUAGUUACAACAUUGUGCCAUUUCUUUUAUUUUCUGCUUUUGUCACUUUCGAUCCUCUUUCGAUUUUUCUUUGUCUUUUUUGUAUUUCCUUCUAUACAUAGAGCAUUUUGUAUUUGAAGAAACACGUGCGACUAAUAUAAGGAAGGUCUGAUAACAA